Molecule: ribosomal RNA, 438 nt
Filed under: uncultured bacterium
Lineage: Bacteria
Description: bacterial SSU rRNA
Rfam family: Bacterial small subunit ribosomal RNA
Source: RNAcentral
ACUCCUACGGGAGGCAGCAGUGGGAAUAUUGCACAAUGGGCGCAAGCCUGAUGCAGCCAUGCCGCGUGUGUGAAGAAGGCCUUCGGGUUGUAAAGCACUUUCAGUCGUGAGGAAGGUAGUGUAGUUAAUAGCUGCAUUAUUUGACGUUAGCGACAGAAGAAGCACCGGCUAACUCCGUGCCAGCAGCCGCGGUAAUACGGAGGGUGCGAGCGUUAAUCGGAAUUACUGGGCGUAAAGCGCAUGCAGGUGGUUUGUUAAGUCAGAUGUGAAAGCCCGGGGCUCAACCUCGGAAUAGCAUUUGAAACUGGCAGACUAGAGUACUGUAGAGGGGGUAGAAUUUCAGGUGUAGCGGUGAAAUGCGUAGAGAUCUGAAGGAAUACCGGUGGCGAAGGCGGCCCCUGGACAGAUACUGACACUCAGAUGCGAAAGCGUGGGAGC